AUCUAGCUGACGAGUCCCAAAUAGGACGAAACGCUCGGCAAACUGGAU
Molecule: non-coding RNA, 48 nt
Organism: Schistosoma mansoni
Lineage: Eukaryota; Metazoa; Platyhelminthes; Trematoda; Strigeidida; Schistosomatidae
Source: Rfam